This 1241-nucleotide ribosomal RNA is filed under the name metagenome. Its description in RNAcentral is "bacterial LSU rRNA". It matches the Rfam family "Bacterial large subunit ribosomal RNA", at positions 1564 to 2815 of the family's 2925-position model. The record is from RNAcentral.
UGAUGACGAGACGCUAAGGCGUUGAAGCAGUGUAUGUCAGACUUCCAAGAAAAGCUCGCACUGUCAUAAACAAAUAAUGCCUGUACCAUAACCGACACAGGUGGGUAGGUAGAGUAUACUAAGGGGCGCGAGAUAACUCUCUCUAAGGAACUCGGCAAAAUGACUCCGUAACUUCGGGAGAAGGAGUGCCUUAUUUAUAAGGUUGCAAUAACAAGAUCCAAGCAACUGUUUAUCAAAAACACAGGUCUCCGCUAAGUCGUAAGACGAUGUAUGGGGGCUGACGCCUGCCCAGUGCCAGAAGGUUAAAGAAGUUGGUUAGUGUAUGCGAAGCUGAUGACUGAAGCCCUGGUGAACGGCGGCCGUAACGAUAACGGUCCUAAGGUAGCGAAAUUCCUUGUCGGGUAAGUUCCGACCCGCACGAAAGGCGUAAUGAUUUGGAUACUGUCUCGGAGAGAGGCUCGGUGAAAUAGACUUGUCUGUGAAGAUGCGGACUACCUGCACCAGGACAGAAAGACCCUAUGAAGCUUUACUGUAACUUGAAAUUGGAAUUGGACUUUGCUUGCGCAGUAUAGGUGGGAAGCGUUGAAAAUAUUCUUGCGGGAGUAUUGGAGCUAUCAGUGAGAUACCACUCUUGUAAUGUUAGAUUUCUAACUUUGAACCAUAAUCUGGUCAAAGAACAGUUUCAGGUGGGCAGUUUGACUGGGCGGUCGCCUCCCAAAUGGUAACGGAGGCGUACAAAGGUUUCCUCUGAACGGAUAGAAAUCGUAUCUAGAGUGUAAAGGCAUAAGGAAGCUUGACUGUGAGACCUACAAGUCGAGCAGGGACGAAAGUCGGUCUUAGUGAUCUGACGGUACUGAGUGGAAAGGCCGUCACUCAACGGAUAAAAGUUACUCUAAGGAUAACAGGCUGAUCUCCCCCAAGAGUUCACAUCGACGGGGAGGUUUGGCACCUCGAUGUCGGCUCAUCGCAUCCUGGGGCGGUAGUACGUCCCAAGGGUUGGGCUGUUCGCCCAUGAAAGCGGUACGCGAGCUGGGUUCAGAACGUCGUGAGACAGUUCGGUCCAUAUCCGGUGUAGGCGCUAGAAUAUUGAGAGGAGCCUUCUUUAGUACGAGAGGACCGAGAAGGACACACCGCUGGUGUACCAGUUAUCGUGCCAACGGUAAACGCUGGGUAGCUAUGUGUGGAGUGGAUAACCGCUGAAAGCAUCUAAGUGGGAAGCCCACCUCGAGAUGAGUAUUCCC